UCAAAUGAAUAGUGUCUUAGCUUAGGGAAAAGGGUGGAAAGCCCUUACUGUAGUCGCAGCUGUAACCGGCGAUGAGGAAUGGAAUAUACCACUGUCUAAUGUACCAAAGUUAAAUGCUGGAUGGGAAGGUCUGUUCUAAAGAUGACCCGGAAGUCAGAAAACCUGGUAAGACGUUCUUCAAUUU
Molecule: non-coding RNA, 184 nt
Filed under: Paramaledivibacter caminithermalis DSM 15212
Lineage: Bacteria; Bacillati; Bacillota; Clostridia; Peptostreptococcales; Caminicellaceae
Source: RNAcentral